This 319-nucleotide ribosomal RNA is filed under the name Halobacteriales archaeon QS_8_69_26. RNAcentral describes it as "bacterial SSU rRNA". It matches the Rfam family "Archaeal small subunit ribosomal RNA", at positions 1 to 273 of the family's 1478-position model. The record is from RNAcentral. Lineage: Archaea; Methanobacteriati; Methanobacteriota; Halobacteria; Halobacteriales.
AUUCCGGUUGAUCCUGCCGGAGGCCAUUGCUAUCGGGGUCCGAUUUAGCCAUGCUAGUCGCACGGGUUCAGACCCGUGGCGAAUAGCUCCGUAACACGUGGCCAAACUGCCCUACGGACCGGGACAACCUCGGGAAACUGAGGCUAAUCCCGGAUAGCGCUCUCCGCCUGGAGUGGUUUGAGCGUGAAACGCUCCAGCGCUCGCCAGACUUCGUCUGGCUGCGCAGCGGGACUUCGUCCCGCGAGCGCCGUAGGAUGUGGCUGCGGCCGAUUAGGUAGACGGUGGGGUAACGGCCUACCGUGCCGAUAAUCGGUACGGG